Alistipes sp. An66 is the source of this 1639-nucleotide ribosomal RNA. It matches the Rfam family "Bacterial large subunit ribosomal RNA", at positions 99 to 1752 of the family's 2925-position model. The record is from Rfam. Lineage: Bacteria; Pseudomonadati; Bacteroidota; Bacteroidia; Bacteroidales; Rikenellaceae.
UUGAUCCGGAGAUUUCUGAAUGGGACAACCCGUCAGGUAGAAGACCUGACAUCCGGCGACGGAGGCCAACCCUCUGAACUGAAACAUCUUAGUAGGAGGAGGAAAAGAAAGAAACAUCGAUUUCCUAAGUAGCGGCGAGCGAACGGGAAAUAGCCCAAACCGGUAUUGUUACGGCAAUGCCGGGGUAGUAGGACUGCGAUAUUCAAGAGACAAUGAACUGGAACGAUCUGGAAAGUUCGUCCAUAGAGGGUGAAAGACCCGUACAGGUAAGUUCGUUUGGCGAUAGCAGUAUCCUGAGUAGGGCGGGACACGAGGAAUCCUGUCUGAAACAGCCGGGACCACCCGGUAAGGCUAAAUACUCCCAAGAGACCGAUAGUGAACCAGUACCGUGAGGGAAAGGUGAAAAGAACCCCGAACAGGGGAGUGAAAUAGAACCUGAAACCAUGCGCUUACAACCUGUCGGAGCGGCUUCGUGCCGUGACGGCGUGCCUAUUGAAUAAUGAGCCUACGAGUUACUAAUCACUGGCGAGGUUAAGUGACAGGAGUCACGGAGCCGAAGCGAAAGCGAGUCUGAACAGGGCGGCCAGUCAGUGGUUGUAGACGCGAAACCUUGCGAUCUACCCUUGAGCAGGAUGAAGGUCGGGUAACACCGACUGGAGGUCCGAACGAAUAAGCGUUGAAAAGCUUCUCGAUGACUUGAGGGUAGGGGUGAAAGGCUAAUCAAGCUGGGAAAUAGCUCGUACUCCCCGAAAUGCCUUUAGGGGCAGCGUUGUAAUAAAGAGUCUACUGGAGGUAGAGCUACUGAUUGGAUGCGGGGGCUUCACCGCCUACCAAAUCCUGACAAACUCCGAAUGCCAGUAGUAUGAUUUACAGCAGUGAGCGACCGGGUGCUAAUGUCCGGUUACGAGAGUGGAACAACACAGACCAGCAAUUAAGGUCCCAAAGCAUAUGCUAAGUUGAACUAACGAUGUUUUGUUGCAGAGACAGCUAGGAUGUUAGCUUGGAAGCAGCUAUUCAUUCAAAGAGUGCGUAACAGCUCACUAGUCGAGCGACAGAGCGUGGAUAAUAAACGGGCAUCAAGCAUAUCACCGAAAUUCUGGACACGAGAGUGUGGUAGGGGAGCAUUCCAUUCGCGCCGAAGCAGAAUCGUGAGAUUUUGUGGAGCGUAUGGAAAAGCAAAUGUAGGCAUAAGUAACGAUAAUGCGGGAGAGUAACCCGCACACCGCAAGACCAAGGUUUCCUGAUCAACGCUAAUCGGAUCAGGGUUAGUCGGGUCCUAAGGGUAAUCCGAACGGAGAUCUCGAUGGAUAAUCGGUUAAUAUUCCGAUACUGACAUGAGCCUCGAUGGAGAGACGAAGGGACGUAAGUGACGCCAUCUGACGGAAUAGGUGGUUAAAGGGCGUAGGUAUAGGGACAGAUUAAGAGUUAGUCCUUGCUGAAACCUGACAGUACAGAGCGGCUACGGCCAAUUUGAUAGUUCACCCAAGUUGACUUCCGAGAAAAUCUUCUAAGUUACAGUUCAUGUCACCCGUACCGUAAACCGACACAGGUGGUCGAGGAGAGUAUCCUAAGGUGCUCGAGUGAAUCACGGUUAAGGAACUAGGCAAAUUAACCCCGUAACUUCGGGAAAAGGGGUCCC